RNAcentral lists this ribosomal RNA (502 nucleotides) under uncultured bacterium. RNAcentral's name for it is "bacterial SSU rRNA". It matches the Rfam family "Bacterial small subunit ribosomal RNA", at positions 24 to 518 of the family's 1533-position model. The record is from RNAcentral.
UCAGGAUGAACGCUAGCGACAGGCUAACACAUGCAAGUCGAGGGGCAGCACGGGAGUAGCAAUACAACUGGUGGCGACCGGCGCACGGGUGAGUAACGCGUAUGCAACCUACCUAUCAGAGGGGAAUAACCCGGCGAAAGUCGGACUAAUACCGCAUAAAACAGGGGCACCGCAUGGUGAUAUUUGUUAAAGAGAUUCGCUGAUAGAUGGGCAUGCGUUCCAUUAGGUAGUUGGUGAGGUAACGGCUCACCAAGCCGACGAUGGAUAGGGGAACUGAGAGGUUGGUCCCCCACACUGGUACUGAGACACGGACCAGACUCCUACGGGAGGCAGCAGUGAGGAAUAUUGGUCAAUGGGCGGGAGCCUGAACCAGCCAAGUCGCGUGAAGGAAGAAGGAUCUAUGGUUCGUAAACUUCUUUUGCAGGGGAAUAAAGUGCAGGACGUGUCCUGUUUUGUAUGUACCCUGAGAAUAAGGAUCGGCUAACUCCGUGCCAGCAGCCGC